Molecule: long non-coding RNA, 976 nt
Organism: Leopardus geoffroyi (Geoffroy's cat)
Lineage: Eukaryota; Metazoa; Chordata; Mammalia; Carnivora; Felidae
Exons: 2
Source: RefSeq, a predicted model, not a curated record
AAUGGUAGCUACAACAACAGGGUGGAAAGAGAAAAGAAGCAACUCCUUGGUACACCCUUUCCGUGCCUCUCAGAACAACUUACUCAGUGUUUUAUUAGCUUGUUGUAUUUUUUUGUAGGCUACCCGGAAACCUGGAAGACCUUCAUCCCCUCUUCUCUAAAGAACUCUUGGGGUGCCUCGGUGGCUCAGUCAGUUAAGCAUCCUUCAGCUCAGGAAAGAGUUACUAUAAAACCACCAUUUCUGUCGCUGCCUUGCACCCCAAUCAGGACGAGCCGUCUUCCGUUGUGCAAAGCACAUGCAAGAUGUCAACUCUUCCCUCCAAACAUCCAACUCAGGGAGGUAGUAACUCCAAAGUUCACACUUACAUAUCCCAGAGUAGCAUAUUGGUUUUGUCCUUCUCUCUUUGGGGUCUUUUUUAUAAUAUAGCUGUCAACAUGAAAAGAAGAAAGUCGGCACUGUGCCAGUGAGCUCAAAGAGCUCCCUGAUAGAGACAAUGGUUUCUGAGCACAUGCUGCAACACUAUGAAAAGGGGUGAAAAAUAUCAAGUCACAGAUGUUUGUCUGCUACAUGGAAAGAAAGCAGAGAUGGGAGGACCCAUCAAGGUUUGAAUCUUAAUUUGCUAUUUCUUUAACAUUCAUGUCCCUACUUGACCCUACAUGUGCCUUAUUCUCUGACCUCACCACCUCCUUGCUCAUUCGAUGCUCUGCAUGCCACAAGCUUAUCAGCCUUAAUGCCUUUGUACUUAUUAUUUCCUCUGCCUCUCCCCAAAAUCUUUGCAUGGAAGAUUCCUUCUUGUCAUUUAGUUUUAACCUCAAUGUCACCGCUUCGGAGAUACCUUCUCUGACCUUACAUUGCAAGUGAGAGCCCCUCUCCACUGAAACUUCUCCCACAAACAGGCAUGAUCACAUUGUCUGGUUGUGUUUUGUUUAUACCCUCUAACCCUUGUACCAUUUAAUAAAUUCCUGCCUAACAUUGA